AGAGCGAACGCUGGCGGCAGGCCUAACACAUGCAAGUCGAACGGACCCUUCGGGGUUAGUGGCGGACGGGUGAGUAACACGUGGGAACGUGCCUUUUGGUUCGGAAUAGCUCCUGGAAACGGGUGGUAAUGCCGAAUGUGCCCUUCGGGGGAAAGAUUUAUCGCCAUUAGAGCGGCCCGCGUCUGAUUAGCUAGUUGGUAAGGUAAUGGCUUACCAAGGCGACGAUCAGUAGCUGGUCUGAGAGGGUGACCGGCCACACUGGGACUGAGACACGGCCCAGACUCCUACGGGAGGCAGCAGUGGGGAAUAUUGCACAAUGGGCGCAGGCCUGAUGCAGCAACGCCGCGUGAGGGAUGACGGCCUUGGGUGUAACUCUUUAGCAGGAAGAAGCGAGAGUGACGGACUGACAAGAAAAGCACCGGACUAACUACGUGCCAGCAGCCGC
Molecule: ribosomal RNA, 445 nt
Filed under: uncultured soil bacterium
Lineage: Bacteria
Description: bacterial SSU rRNA
Rfam family: Bacterial small subunit ribosomal RNA
Source: RNAcentral